RNAcentral lists this ribosomal RNA (301 nucleotides) under uncultured bacterium. Its description in RNAcentral is "partial 16S ribosomal RNA". It matches the Rfam family "Bacterial small subunit ribosomal RNA", at positions 509 to 808 of the family's 1533-position model. The record is from RNAcentral.
CAGCAGCCGCGGGAAUACGUAGGUGGCAAGCGUUGUCCGGAAUUAUUGGGCGUAAAGGGCUCGCAGGCGGUUUCUUAAGUCUGAUGUGAAAGCCCCCGGCUCAACCGGGGAGGGUCAUUGGAAACUGGGAAACUUGAGUGCAGAAGAGGAGAGUGGAAUUCCACGUGUAGCGGUGAAAUGCGUAGAGAUGUGGAGGAACACCAGUGGCGAAGGCGGCUCACUGGCCCGGAACUGACGCUGAGGCGCGAAAGCGUGGGGAGCAAAUAGGAUUAGAUACCCCCGUAGUCCCUGUCUCUUAACC